GAGCUUGUAGAGCGGCUUAAUUUCGACUUAAGUGGUGGAUAAAUUAGUGAAGUUCA
This 56-nucleotide transfer RNA is filed under the name Heteropoda venatoria (giant crab spider). RNAcentral describes it as "tRNA-Arg". Lineage: Eukaryota; Metazoa; Arthropoda; Arachnida; Araneae; Sparassidae. The record is from RNAcentral.